ACCGCAGACGCCUUCUUGGUGAUGAUGAUGGGCGCGAAGCUGCAAGAGAGCCUGGAUCUUGGGGGAAAAAGAGCUCUAUGGCCGCCGCGUUAUCAUUCCACCGUCCAGAGGAGAGGUCGUCGGUGACCGGAGAUCGACAUGAGUCGAGUCGAUUUAGGUGGCGGCCAGAAUCCAUUGGCAGAAACCUUAGCUCCUUUAUUAUUAGGUAUAGAUUAGGUAUAGAUAUAUAGAUACGUGGUCUGUUCGUCCGACGCUUCAGUCUUCGUCCCACCGUUUUUUUUCCAGCGCUAAACCACCGGCUUAUUUUAGUCCCUCUCCGCCUCUUCCUUCCGUCCCACCGAUUUUUCCCCUCCAGCAUAGCCUUCCCCUCACGGCGCCUUCGCUUUCCGCACCUUGCCCAAGCGCCGCCGCCGCAUCACGCAUCUUUGAUCUGUUGCACCGCCGCCUUUACGGAGGAGACGGUCAUCAGCAGUUUCGCACAAGCACGUCGCUUACCAAGGGGCUGCCGCCGUCGCGCCGAACGCAUCCUAAGAUUUCUCCUCAAUUAAGCUCCUCUGUCCCACCACGCCUCGCCUCUCCCAUCCCCGAUCGCGCGGGACGGUGGACGCCAUGAGAAUUGAACAGUUUGAUCGGAGUUCCUGUCGGACCUAAGGCCACACACAUCGACGAGCUCUGGAUCCUCGCGCACGGAGAGAUUAUCCGCCGGCAGGCGCAUCCUCGAUCAACAUGUGAUUCGUCCACUGAGUUGGCUGGGGCCGGCCUCUCUUUAAUUGGUGAUAAACUGAUCAUUCGUUUGGUUCGUUCUUUGGUUGGCUCCUCUGGUCCGGUGUUGGGGUUGACUUAAAACUUCUCCCUUUGCUGCGCUGGCCAGCGGCCAUGUUCUUUCUAUGUGAGAGUUCUUGUACUGGUGGGUUCCAAAGUUAGUGCCUCGCAAACGGAAAAGUACGCGCUACCUGAGAGGGUGCAUUUGAAUGAAGUUCCUCGCGAGGGAGAUGCUAAAUUGCUAAUGGUGAGCAGCAUUUGUUUGGUCAUAUGCAGUUCCUACAAGUAGAAUAGGAGCUCUGAGCUGAUCCACCCGAUCUGAUCUAGGUAAAAAUCUUCAGUCCAAUCACCUGCUGGUUUCAGUACAGCAAUUGUUCUGCUUGAACAUUUGUGAAAUAUAACAGGUCCUGCAAUUUACUCUGAAAUACAAUAAGUUCAUUGAUCCAUGUAUAACUUGUUUGUUCCCAUUCCUCGCAGAUAUGUGCAACUUUUAACUUGCUUGCCAUACAUUUCAGUUAUUAUGCAAGAUUCCAUUGGAUGCCUACAACUAAUCUAAUACAGUAUAUUUUUCUAAUGAGACCUGUCAUGUAUUUAACAUUAAUAUCCAGAAGUAAAGUUUCAUAACUUUUUGAAUCGACGUAAAGCUUGUUCAUCGCCUCUAAUACAGUAUGUCUUUGCAAAUAUACACAUUUAGAAAAAAUUGGCAUGUGCAAAGGCCAAGCAAGUUCACGUCCAGUGAUCUGCACAACCAUGGAACCAGCUUUAUUGGAUUGACAAGAUUAUGCAUGUUGAUACCUGCACUAUGCUCAUCAUUAGCAAGAUUAAGGAAGGAGUUCAUGAGACGGUCUACACGGAGAAUUAGUACUUUUGAAUGGUUCACUUUAAUUGGGACCACAAGCUCUGAAGAUUGCAUAUAUAUAACUCCUUAGUGAGGACUGACUAUUAGUUAGGCAUGUCUAAACCAGGUUCUGGUGAGAGUGAGUUUGCGACCUGCACUGAUUUUUCUUGGCAUCAUUUUAACUUGUGAGUGGGGAUGGUGCUUUAGUUCUUGGUAUUUUAGAGAUAGCAAACUAUCUGUAUGGUACAAUACUCUAGAAUCAAGAUAUCAUGGGAGAAUGUGUAAGAAAAAUAUUAAGUGCGAUUGGUAUUGAAAGUUAGCAGCCACUAGAGCAAUCAUAUUCUGUGAUUUACUAUGGGCAUCUCGACACUUGCUCUAAUGCUACUUAUUGAUCUUAUUAUCUCUUCAAACAAAGUACAUGAGCAAGGUCUAAUUGCCAUACUGCAUUAUCCACUAUCACGUUUUUUUUAAGGCGGUAAGGCGUCCUAAAGCGCUCUACCCCUGCUCUGACGCCUAAAGCGGGAAAAUUUUCUAGACUUGGCUAGGGCGCCUCAUCUCCUAAGCAUCCUAAGGAGGACGCCCUUCAAAACAUGCUAAUUCUAGAGAUAUAUGAUUUGAAGUGUUGGUAUAUUUUUCAUUACAGAGUCCUUUUCAAUAAUGUAUUUCCAUGGAUUAUGAUCCAGUUAUUUUGGUGGCUUGCAUAAUCAGGUUAACCACUAUACAUGUAUUAUCUCUGUAGGAUUUCCAUCAACUGGGCAAAAUUAAAUUAUUAUUUUGGAGGAAAAUAGUUUCUCCUCGCGAACAGAUGUGGAUAUUAAUUGAAUUUGGAGAGCAUGAAGGAUUGAGGUAACAUUGUUUUACAGAAGUUUAUGCCACCUUCAUCACAGAAUGCUUCACUGACCAAUGUAGAUAUGUCGUUAUCUGAAUUAUGUUUCACCUGUGCUCGUUAACUUGUAUGUGACUUUGUUGGUAGCCCCCAACUAUAAUUCACUAAGUCCGCCAAACAAAUUUCGGUGGAAUUUGUGCUGCUUGAUUAGCUCAAUUUUCAGGGAUUGUGAUGGAGGCCUCUCGGGGCAGAGUAUCUUAACCAACAACCCAUCAGUAUGUUAACUUCGUAGAGUCAUUAAGGUUAUUAGGGGAAGAGCCAUAUUCUUCUGCUGCAAUUGUUGGAUCGUAUGGCUCAGCCACGGUGGCGGAUAAUGGCGAGAAGUGUUUUGUACUUCCAAAUAUUGUGCGGUUGCUUCUAGCAAUGGGCUUUAGUAACAUUCAACUGAUUCAGGAUGAGCUUGUCCGGCAUAUAUGAGCUGGGUAUACAGUUGUAGAUGACAAGUGCAAGUUAUAAAAUUACGCAUCACAAAACUUUUUAGCAGGCAAAGAGUUCAUUGCUGAAAUAUAAACUCGGAUGCAGUGCUUCUUUUUUAAUGGUCGGUGUUUAUUCCUGAAGAUAAUAUGGGUGACGAAGGAGGAGAGAGGGAUGACGUACUAGAUAUGGAACUGGACAAAGAGCGUUUAUCAGGUUGGUAGACUACACUUUGUCUAUCUCAUAGCGUGGGGAUAGAGAAAUUAGAGCCCACAUCAGGGAAGAGAGUCACUAUGGUGGAAACUUGUCAAUACUACAUAGUACAUUUUGAUCCAUAUCUAUAUGACUAUGUAUCUUAGUUUUUUGUAAGCAAUGCACGAAUCACAUGAGAUGGAGGAAAUAAUGUUAGUUAAUUGACAUGUCUCUGUAUCAGUAGUUUUACGUAAGUGACAUAUAUGCAUGUAUUAGCUAGGUUGCUCCAGAUUCUAUAGCCUUUUGUCAAAUUACAUUUGAGCAAAACAGAAUCUUACCAUUUUAAAAUAUUAUGUGACAAUUUUUUAUACAUGUGAUUUUCAUGUGUCUAAUGUUUAAAUGCAUAUGAAAUACAAACUUGACAGCUAAUGGGCAUGAACCUCGUCAAAGAUUCCUGGGAUAGGAUAAGGUACAUGGUGAAGCAAAAAGGUAGAGCGCCGUGGGUUUCAUGGCAAGUUAAACGGAUGGGAUUUUAGUAGUGGAGAUUUAAGGAAUAGGAAAAUGCACUCACCCGACUAAGAAAUGAUGCUAAACAAGAUGUUCCUGGUUGGAAGUAAAAACACACUAGCUUUAACCGGCAAGCGAGUGGAUAGACAAUCUGAGAGAGA
Molecule: long non-coding RNA, 3760 nt
Organism: Lolium rigidum
Lineage: Eukaryota; Viridiplantae; Streptophyta; Magnoliopsida; Poales; Poaceae
Exons: 4
Source: RefSeq, a predicted model, not a curated record